GACUGCUGCACAGUUCCUACAGGUCUUCAAAGUCUUGAAUAUCCAAAUCUGCAUUUAGUAUCUUAACAAAGUCUUUAAAAGGUAUUAAAUUUUCUAUGGCAGGUCUUAAUUUAUGUUGCCAUAAACGUGUUUGCUGUAUUGUGUUUAAAUGUGUCCAAGCUGCAAAGAAAGUAAC
Long non-coding RNA from Sphaeramia orbicularis (orbiculate cardinalfish), 175 nucleotides. RefSeq lists it as uncharacterized. The record is from RefSeq and is a predicted model, not a curated record. NCBI's taxonomy places the organism in Eukaryota, Metazoa, Chordata, Actinopteri, Kurtiformes, Apogonidae. The transcript has 4 exons.